UACGUAGGGGGCGAGCGUUGUCCGGAUUCAUUGGGCGUAAAGAGCUCGUAGGCGGCUUGGCAAGUCGGGUGUGAAAACUCCAGGCUCAACCUGGAGAUGCCACCCGAUACUGCUAUGGCUUGAGUUCGGUAGGGGACCACGGAAUUCCUGGUGUAGCGGUGAAAUGCGCAGAUAUCAGGAGGAACACCGGUGGCGAAGGCGGUGGUCUGGGCCGAAACUGACGCUGAGGAGCGAAAGCGUGGGGAGCGAACAGG
RNAcentral lists this ribosomal RNA (254 nucleotides) under uncultured bacterium. Its description in RNAcentral is "partial 16S ribosomal RNA". It matches the Rfam family "Bacterial small subunit ribosomal RNA", at positions 524 to 776 of the family's 1533-position model. The record is from RNAcentral.